UGUUAGGGCACGACACCGGAGAGGGAGCCUGAGAAACGGCUACCACAUCCAAGGAUGGCAGCAGGCGCGCAAAUUACCCAAUCCCGACACGGGGAGGUAGUGACAAUAAAUAACAAUACAGGGUUCUUUAGGAUCUCGUAAUUGGAAUGAGUACAAUUUAAAUCUCUUAACGAGGAACAAUUGGAGGGGGGUGUGGUGUCUCGUGCCGGCAACCGCGGUAAUUCCAGCUCCAAUAGCGUAUAUUAAAGUUGUUGCAGUUAAAAAGCUCGUAGUUGAAUUUCGGGGUUAGUAGGUUGGUCAUGCCUCUGGUAUGUACUGGUCUCACUGAUUCCUCCUUCCUGAUGAGCCGUAAUGCCAUUAAUUUGGUGUUGCGGGGAAUUUGGACUGUUACUUUGAAAAAAUUAGAGUGUUUAAAGCAAGCUAACGCUUGAAUACAUUAUCAUGGAAUAAUGAAAUAGGACGUUCGAUCCUAUUUGUUGGUUUCUAGGAUUGACGUAUGAUUAAAGGGGAUAGUUGGGGGCAUAGUAUUCAAUUGUCAGGAGUGAAAUUUCUUGGAUUUAUUUGAAAAACU
This 571-nucleotide ribosomal RNA is filed under the name uncultured Rhizophagus. RNAcentral describes it as "SSU rRNA". It matches the Rfam family "Eukaryotic small subunit ribosomal RNA", at positions 368 to 937 of the family's 1831-position model. Lineage: Eukaryota; Fungi; Glomeromycota; Glomeromycetes; Glomerales; Glomeraceae. The record is from RNAcentral.